AAGUCCCUUAAAAAGUUCCUAACAUCCUGUUUCAUUGUACAUUCGGAUUGCUCAAAAAUAAAAUAUAAAAUUUGAUUGGUCAAUGAAACAGGAAGUUAGGAACUUUUUAAGGAACU
RNAcentral lists this microRNA precursor (116 nucleotides) under Paramuricea clavata. The record is from RNAcentral. Lineage: Eukaryota; Metazoa; Cnidaria; Anthozoa; Malacalcyonacea; Plexauridae.